Molecule: ribosomal RNA, 425 nt
Filed under: uncultured bacterium
Lineage: Bacteria
Description: bacterial SSU rRNA
Rfam family: Bacterial small subunit ribosomal RNA
Source: RNAcentral
GUGAGGAAUAUUGGUCAAUGGUCGCGAGACUGAACCAGCCAAGCCGCGUGAAGGAUGAAGGCCCUAUGGGUCGUAAACUUCUUUUGUCAGGGAACAAAACAGAGAACGAGUUCUUUGCCGAGUGUACCUGAAGAAAAAGCAUCGGCUAACUCCGUGCCAGCAGCCGCGGUAAUACGGAGGAUGCGAGCGUUAUCCGGAUUUAUUGGGUUUAAAGGGUGCGUAGGCGGACUGUUAAGCCGGCGGUAAAAGCCCGGGGCUCAACCCCGGCAAGCCGUCGGAACUGGCAGACUAGAGUAGGCGAGAGGUACGCGGAAUGCGCGGUGUAGCGGUGAAAUGCAUAGAUAUCGCGCAGAACUCCGAUUGCGAAGGCAGCGUACUGGCGCCCGACUGACGCUGAGGCACGAAAGCGUGGGUAUCGAACAGGA